CCGGGCCUGGGGGGAGGAAUCGGCAACACAGGGCAGGUUUAGCUGGGCUGGGGGUGAGAGCAAGGGAGGGCGGGAAGCCAGCAGCUAGCUCCUUCUCUUCUCAGGCCCCCUCCCGGCUGCCCCUGCCCCACCACACCCCUUCCUGCCUCCUUUGCCCGCUUCCAGCUCCGACUGGCCAGCUACUUCUGCAGGGAGAGGAAAAGGAGAGCCCUUGGGUGUGCUGGGGAGGGGACAGACCCGAGGGCCCAUCUUGCUCUCCGCCGAGCGGGCUCUGCUCCUCUCUGUGAUGCUGGGCCCGUCAGACCAGUGGUUCUCAACUCAGGAUGAUUCUGGUCUCCUCUCCCCCUAUGCCAGAGGAUGUUCAGCAAUGUCCAGACGUUUCUGGUCAUUAUACUUUGGGGAGGCCGGGGGAGGUGCUACUGGCUGGCGGCUGGAGGCCAGAGCUCUGCUGAGUGCCCUGCAGUGCAUAGGAUGGCCCCACCACGGAGAACGACGUGGCCCCAAAUGUCACCAGUGCCCGGAUGGAGAAACUGCUUUAAACCAUGAGGACCGUAGGAGCUAGGGCAACCCCUCCAGAGAGACAGCAGGAGACGGAGACCAAGGAGGCUCGAAGUCUGGGGCCUCCGCCUUCCUUCCACCGCACCUGUGGGCUCUGCGGCCGAGUUAGCCGCAGCCCAGCUCCUCACCUCCACUCCCUCCUUUGGCCCGGUCCGCCCUCCUCUGGGAGAUCAGGAGGUAGCGCCUCCCACAGCAGGGGAAGCAGAGGGAGGCUCGCCAGGUAAACCGAGAGGGAAAAAGAGGCGCCAGCUGCCCCGCUCGGGGUUGGCCCUGCAGCACCCAUACCUGCGUCCACAUCGUUGGGCCACCCGCUGGACUGGCUGCUGCCAGCUGCUGGGGAGCGGCCUGUGCCGGGAUAGAAGACAUCAUCGACGGGGCUCUCCAUCUCGCUGUCAUCGAUGGACUUGGGGCGCUUGGUGGUGCUGGGGAAGAGGAUCAGGCGGGACAAGGGAAGAUUGACCAACUGCUUCCCGGCUCGCGCCGGUGACCCGCCGGGUGGGGAGCAGGCGCCUGACGAGGCACUCGCUACGUGCCUUCCCCUGAGACCAGACGGGCCCCAGAGUCCCUCGGGACCCCGCAGGUCUGCUCCUCCUCCUCGAACCCCUUCUCGGCCCGUGAUACCUUCAUCCGCAAAACCCCCCCUCAACUGCUUCUGUGCUCCCACCUUCUAUUUCCCAUCAGCCCCCAGGGCCAGGGCAAGUCGAGAGGCACUCGCCAGGGACGAAAAUGCCAAGGGGUGCUACGGAAUUCAGACAUCAGGGAUACUGUGUUCUUUUACGUUAAAAUGUCACUAACACGAGAACAUUGUAACAUCACAGUGCGAUACUUUAACCAAUAAAAAUCAAUUCCCAAAACCUCA
Felis catus (domestic cat) is the source of this 1417-nucleotide long non-coding RNA. RefSeq lists it as uncharacterized. The record is from RefSeq and is a predicted model, not a curated record. Lineage: Eukaryota; Metazoa; Chordata; Mammalia; Carnivora; Felidae. The transcript has 2 exons.